Bos taurus (domestic cattle) is the source of this 2876-nucleotide long non-coding RNA. NCBI's taxonomy places the organism in Eukaryota, Metazoa, Chordata, Mammalia, Artiodactyla, Bovidae. The record is from Ensembl.
AAACACAAUGCCACAUCCUCAGAGGGACACAGCUACACCCUUGUGGUCCUCGGGUGAGCUUGGAGCCAUCGGGAUCUUCUCAGGGACGUGGCUGCUGGCAGACACGGGGACAGGAUUCAGGCAGAGAUGCUUCCUUCUUGGGGUCUCCAGCCCUCUCCUGAUUAGAUCUGCACUCCUGGAAAUGGGCUCCCUGCCACCAAAGAGGGCAGGACCUUCCACCUACUCCUCCGAUCACGAGACCUCCCUCCUACAAGGACGCUUUUGUUGAGUUGGGCCAGGGUGCUGAGAAAGGAACCGAAUUACAGAGAGUCCCAAACAUGUGGGGCUGAAAGAACAGUCUGCGGCUAAUUUAAUAAGCACUGGGUUCAUUUGUGCAACAAUCCUGCCUGUGGAAAAUGAGUUUCAAGGAUCCUGAGGUCUCACCAAGGGUUCCCACCAGCGUCGUGUGGUGGCUGAACCAUCUGCAGUCUUACAGAUGAGCAGCUCAGACACGGAGAGGCCAGGCAGCCUUCAAAAGGUCACACAGAGGUGACUCACAUGUGAGGAAACUCCAUCAUCAAAAUGUGGAAGUGGCAGGUGGAGGUGGUCAAUGUCGCAUACAAAGGAAAUGGAGUCAGACACCCAUGGAAUCACUCCAGGCUGACCCCACGCUAAUUACUGGGGUUCACAGUCCUAGGAAUUGCAAAGGAGGGAAACAGACAUCUGCACAGAGCCUUGGUGCCUGGAUUCACCCAAGAAUCUCCACAUCCACGUAAGCAUCAGAUUUUGUGAUUUCCACGGUAGUGCAAUGACCUCGAGGCUCACACCUCUGAAGAAGUGGCCAGGAUUUUCUGGCACCAAAGACCGCUGUGGGCUCUUGCCUCAAGUUAUCCAGCAGAUCCUCAGAGGUGUGAACUUCCUUCAGUAAGAAAAUGCACUUCCUCUCAGGGAAAAUACAUUGGAAUGUACAUCCUGCCAAGCAUCCAUUCAUCCCACGGUCACUGGAAACUUGGUGUUGCAGUGAGGAAGUGUGUCAAGGCUGGCUUCCCCGGAGACCUGCUUCCUGGUGGCAUCAAAAGAUGCAGAAGUUUUUGUCAGCUCACUCAACGAGAGUCUAUCUGUUCAUGCUGGCCUGGUUCAUUCAUACUCAACUUCCAAGACAUUGUUGCCUAAAGACCAAAACGACAAAUCAUCCAUUUUCAUUGAGAAAGAGAUCUCGAGAGGAGGUACUUAAAAGCUUCCAUUGGCAAUUUUUUUUUUUAAUACGGAAACAUAUCUGAGAAGCCAAAUCAAUAUCAGAACGCUGCCCUGUGGAUAGACAGAGCUGAGUAAAGUGAGACGUUGUUCAUGUCAUGACCGCUUGAUACACCCGAUUACACUAGAUGGAGUGUAGACCAGAAGGAAGGGGGUCCUCUCUCAGCAACACUGGAAGUCAGUCCAACAAAUGCCCAUGGUUCUGCACCUCUUUCUCAGUAUUCCUGGCCAGUCAUGAAAACUCCUGCAAUGGCAUUAUUUCCUCAUAAUGGAUAUGUUUCAGUGUUCCAAGAUUACCACUCACUUUUCACUUUGAAUUCUAAAUAAAGGCUUUCCUUUUGGGGAGGGACUCUGUAAGUACUUGGCUUAGUAUUUUUAAAAUGUUCUAGCUUGCUGUGGUGCGGUGUCACGUGUCUGUGGGUUAGCUGUGCCGUGUCCUUGUCUUGGAGUGCCCUCCCCGCCCUGCUGUACCCACACCCCCAACACCUCUGUCUGCUAAACUCUCAGUCAUCCUUUUCAUUCCAGGGACAAGUGUCAUCCCCUUCAGAAGCUCCCACACCCAGAGCAGGCUUAGAAGGUCUUUGCUCUGUGUUCCUAUGUUGGAGAAGGAAAUGGCAACCCACUCCAGUAUUCUUGCCUGGAGAAUCCCAUGGACAGAGGAGCCUGGCAGGCUACAGUCCAUGGGGUUUCAAGAGUUGGACAUGACUUAGCGACUAAACCACCACCUAUGUUGUUUGUUUAUCCUUUAUUCUAGCCUUUGUCAUAGGCUGCAAAGGCAGGCUUGUCUAGCCGUCUUCCCCACUAGAUUGCAAACUCUCAGGAAACAGGAACUUGGUCCAUCUCAUGGACCCGGACACAGUGCCUGGUACAGGGCAGGUAUUAGAUAGGUGCUGAUACUUGAUAAAAUCAGUGAGUGGCAUUAACAUUAGCCUACAGCUCUCCUAAUGAUGUCUCAAAAGCAUGCAAACCCCAUUUUAUUCUUCAGAUGACUUUUGACGCCUCUCGUUUAUAAAAGGCAAUGUUCAUAAAAACCUUAGGGUUGGCUUUCAAGGUGAUGAGAUGCGAACCUAGUCAGGUGAGCGAGCGUCACUAUCCUUGGGGGCACAUGGCUGCCAGAAAGAGGCGCUCUCUCCAUGCAUCUCUUCACUACCAAGCUGGUCAAGGAUGGAAACUGCAGGCUUCCCCUCAGUGUGUCCCAAAGCCCAUGGUCCUCCCUGUGGAGAAGCCCGACUGUCCCAAGCUGUGUCCUGAGGGGUUGGACAGCGAGAACCAACUUCCCUUUCCCUUCUGGUGGUUUCUCUUGGUGCAGACCAAAAUGAAAAGUUAUCUGAAAAUUCUGGAAUCAGACACACGUUUGUGGGUAAGAAAGUGAGAAGAAAAAGAUGAACUAUCUUUGUGGAGACAUGGAGAAUGUACUUUGCUGCUGGGUGGGUUUGGUGACCCUGACUCUCUUAGGAAUAAAGGAAAGCUCUCAGGAGCCUUUUGUGUUCUUGAUUAUAUUGUUCUAUUAGCUAAAUCUCCAGUGGUUCCCCCCCACUCCCCCUGGAGAAGGAAAUGUCAACCCACUCCAGUAUUCUUGCCUGGAAAAUUCCAUGGACAGAGGAGCCUGGUGGGCUACAGUCCAUGGGGUCGCAGAGUCAGCC